CUUGAAAAAUGCAUGCGAGUCUGUCAAAAAAUAAAGUUUUCUGUUUUGUUUUUUAUCAAUGUUCUAGAGUGCUUGAAGGUGACUUAUUGAAUUUACAGAAGCUUUAAAAUGAUGGUGGUUACAAAUUAACAUAAUCCAUUUAAACCUCGUAUAACUUUCUUAUGUAUGCUUGUUGACAACGCAUACAACUUGCCAAUAAUAAUCAGUAACUUAGUUUUUUUCUUGAUUAGUGAUUCAUUUCUUAUUUCUUAGUUGUCAUAGGUAGCAAGUGUGAGGAGCAACUUAAUACAUAUGUGAAGUGUGAGGAGACACUUUUGACUGGACUGACAUACAUGAUCAUGUGUGAGGUGGUUCGUGGUUUUCAUUUUGAUUUGAAAAGGUAUUGUACUUGUAUUUCUGAGAGUUGAGGUGAGCAUUCUGGGUAGAUCUUACCUAAAUUUAUAUGCAUCCAUUUUCUUUGUAAUGGUCAUUUUUUGUAGCUAAGAAGCUUAUGAUGAAUUCAUGAAUAUUAACAUUUGGACUCAUACAUUUCCUCUUGAUCCUUCCAAAGGUUGUAUAGAAAAAUUUUGCCCUUUACAUCAUUGGUCUUCUUUGGUAUUUCACGAUAUGUCGUGAAAUAAGUGUUAUUUAGUUGUUCAUUUUUAUCUUUUAUCUAGUAUGGUAUUAUCUAAUGAAGUAUUUCUCCUAGGCCCUAUCUUUGUAACUCAAUGAUCCUGCAUCAUUUUUCUAAGUUUAAAGUAUUUUAGUACCAUUAUUAAUAAUUUUGAAUCUGAGGUUGCUCAUUGUUUCUCUUUGUAAUUUUAGCCUUCUGUUAGAAAAUAGCACAACUUGGGAUACAAACACAAGGUAUCGCGUCUGUCUUAUGUCUGUCUUUUUUUGAAGUUAUAGCGCAUCACAUCAUAAUGAGGUUUCCUACUUGUUUACUCUGCAGGCAAAUGUGGGGAUGAUGGGUUAUAAUGAAUGCUUCUUGCAGGAGGUUACUUAUGUUCUUGUAUCCGAUGGAGUCUCUAGUAACUUCUGUUCUUGUUUCUUGGAGCAAUUUGAUUUCUUAAUGCAGAG
RNAcentral lists this long non-coding RNA (1059 nucleotides) under Panax ginseng (ginseng). RNAcentral describes it as "long non-coding RNA (PGIN_LNC007662)". Lineage: Eukaryota; Viridiplantae; Streptophyta; Magnoliopsida; Apiales; Araliaceae. The record is from RNAcentral.